RNAcentral lists this ribosomal RNA (253 nucleotides) under uncultured bacterium. Its description in RNAcentral is "partial 16S ribosomal RNA". It matches the Rfam family "Bacterial small subunit ribosomal RNA", at positions 524 to 776 of the family's 1533-position model. The record is from RNAcentral.
UACGGAGGGUGCAAGCGUUAUCCGGAUUCACUGGGUUUAAAGGGUGCGUAGGUGGGCUGGUAAGUCAGUGGUGAAAGCCCCAAGCUUAACUUGGGAACUGCCAUUGAUACUGAUGGUCUUGAGUACAUUUGAGGUGGGCGGAAUGUGUCAUGUAGCGGUGAAAUGCUUAGAUAUGACACAGAACACCGAUUGCGAAGGCAGCUCACUAAACUGUAACUGACGCUGAGGCACGAAAGCGUGGGGAGCAAACAGG